This 253-nucleotide ribosomal RNA is filed under the name uncultured bacterium. RNAcentral describes it as "partial 16S ribosomal RNA". It matches the Rfam family "Bacterial small subunit ribosomal RNA", at positions 524 to 776 of the family's 1533-position model. The record is from RNAcentral.
UACGAAGGUGGCAAGCGUUGUUCGGAUUUACUGGGCGUAAAGGGAGCGUAGGUGGUUAGGUAAGCCCUCCGGGAAAUCUUCAGGCUUAACCUGAAAAGGUCGGGGGGGACUGCCUGGCUAGAGGACGGGAGAGGAGCGCGGAAUUCCCGGUGUAGAGGUGAAAUUCGUAGAUAUCGGGAGGAACACCAGUGGCGAAGGCGGCGACCUGGACAGAUAUUGACGCUGAGGUGCGAAAGCGUGGGGAGCAAACAGG